RNAcentral lists this transfer RNA (130 nucleotides) under Imshaugia aleurites. RNAcentral's name for it is "tRNA-Trp". The record is from RNAcentral. Lineage: Eukaryota; Fungi; Ascomycota; Lecanoromycetes; Lecanorales; Parmeliaceae.
GGACCAUUGGCGCAAUGGCUAGCGUGUUCGAUUCCAGUCCGAAAGGUACGGGCCUAAAAUUGGUUCAAAAUUCACUCCGCGGAAUACUGAUUCAUAGACUAGGUUGUCUGUUCGAGUCAGACAUGGUUCA